UGGGGAAUCUUGCGCAAUGGGCGAAAGCCUGACGCAGCGACGCCGCGUGAGGGAAGAAGGCCUUCGGGUUGUAAACCUCUUUCAGGAGGGACGAAGCUACUCGGGUGAACAGCCCAGAGGGUGACGGUACCUCCAGAAGAAGCCCCGGCUAACUACGUGCCAGCAGCCGCGGUAAUACGUAGGGGGCAAGCGUUGUCCGGAUUUACUGGGCGUAAAGAGCGUGUAGGCGGCCUCACAGGUCCGUUGUGAAAACUGAAGGCUUAACCUUCAGACGUCGACGGAAACCGUGUGGCUAGAGUCCGGAAGAGGAGAGUGGAAUUCCUGGUGUAGCGGUGAAAUGCGCAGAUAUCAGGAAGAACACCAAUGGCGAAGGCAGCUCUCUGGGACGGUACUGACGCUGAGACGCGAAAGCGUGGGGAGCGAAACAGGAUUAGGAUACCCCUGGUAGUCCACGCCGUAAACGAUGGGUGCUAGGUGUGGGAGGUGUCGACUCUUCCGUGCCGCAGCUAACG
This 512-nucleotide ribosomal RNA is filed under the name uncultured bacterium. RNAcentral's name for it is "bacterial SSU rRNA". It matches the Rfam family "Bacterial small subunit ribosomal RNA", at positions 355 to 857 of the family's 1533-position model. The record is from RNAcentral.